Molecule: ribosomal RNA, 253 nt
Filed under: uncultured bacterium
Lineage: Bacteria
Description: partial 16S ribosomal RNA
Rfam family: Bacterial small subunit ribosomal RNA
Source: RNAcentral
UACAGAGGGUGCGAGCGUUAAUCGGAAUUACUGGGCGUAAAGCGCACGUAGGCGGCUUGGUAUGUCGGGUGUGAAAUCCCCGGGCUCAACCUGGGAACUGCAUCCGAAACUGCCUUGCUCGAGUAUGGGAGAGGGAAGUGGAAUUUCCGGUGUAGCGGUGAAAUGCGUAGAUAUCGGAAGGAACAUCAGUGGCGAAGGCGGCAUCCUGGACCGGCAUUGACGCUGAGGCGCGAAAGCUAGGGGAGCAAACGGG